Long non-coding RNA from Trematomus bernacchii (emerald rockcod), 339 nucleotides. RefSeq lists it as uncharacterized. The record is from RefSeq and is a predicted model, not a curated record. NCBI's taxonomy places the organism in Eukaryota, Metazoa, Chordata, Actinopteri, Perciformes, Nototheniidae. The transcript is spliced from 4 exons.
AUACUUGUUUAGUUGUGCAGAUUGUCAUGCAAAAUAGGUCUCAGUUGGGAGGGAACCUUGGUUCCAAUAUUUUGUUUCCCUUGGGACUCAUUUGAUGAGGGACCGUCAGCCAUCUUAAAAAGGGCCAGUGAAAUGUUUGUCACUCAUGUUUUGAUCAGCCACAGGGCACACGGGCAGCCGGUGAGAUGUUCCAUUGCAUUGCAACAACCUCUUAGGAACAAAGAGAAGGUUUGCAGUGCUUUCACAUCUUCGGUUCUGAUCAUUGUCCAGACACUUUCACACAAUCCAACAAACGGUCUUGCUGCCUCUGGUUCAGAUCCCGCGCUCUUUUGAAGUAGG